RNAcentral lists this ribosomal RNA (233 nucleotides) under uncultured bacterium. RNAcentral's name for it is "partial 16S ribosomal RNA". It matches the Rfam family "Bacterial small subunit ribosomal RNA", at positions 100 to 334 of the family's 1533-position model. The record is from RNAcentral.
CGGGACGGGUGAGUAAUGUCUGGGAAACUGCCUGAUGGAGGGGGGUAACUACUGGAAACGGUAGCUAAUACCGCAUAACGUCUUCGGACCAAAGUGGGGGACCUUCGGGCCUCACGCCAUCGGAUGUGCCCAGAUGGGAUUAGCUAGUAGGUGGGGUAAUGGCUCACCUAGGCGACGAUCCCUAGCUGGUCUGAGAGGAUGACCAGCCACACUGGAACUGAGACACGGUCCAG